Mycena epipterygia is the source of this 92-nucleotide non-coding RNA. Lineage: Eukaryota; Fungi; Basidiomycota; Agaricomycetes; Agaricales; Mycenaceae. The record is from the annotation of a GenBank genome assembly.
UCGGACGUGGUGUAUGCAACACAGCGGGGCUCUCUAGGUGGAUUUGAUUAGUGAUAUUCCCGCAGUCCGGGGUUCGACUCCCCGCGUCCGAA